Non-coding RNA from Eubacterium coprostanoligenes, 150 nucleotides. Lineage: Bacteria; Bacillati; Bacillota; Clostridia; Eubacteriales; Eubacteriaceae. The record is from Rfam.
AAUAUACAAGCUGUUCAACCAAAGACAGUAGGUGUCCCUGUGACAUAAGCUUUGUCGCCUACCGAGGAAUGAGCAUUAUGUAGCACUUUCGUGCAAAUUUAUGUAAUGUCGUGCAUCCUCGAUUUGGGGAUGCACUUUUAUAUUUGUUGG